UUGCCUCAGUAACGGCGAGUGAAGCGGCAAUAGCUCAAAUUUGAAAUCUGGCAUCAGCCCGAAUUGUAAUUUGUAGAGGAUGCUUCGGCUUACGUUUUGGUCUAAGUUCCUUGGAACAGGACGUCACAGAGGGUGAGAAUCCCGUUUGUGGCCAUAACUUCCGCCAUGUGAAGCUCCUUCGACGAGUCGAGUUGUUUGGGAAUGCAGCUCUAAAUGGGAGGUAUGUUUCUUCUAAAGCUAAAUACCGGCCAGAGACCGAUAGCGCACAAGUAGAGUGAUCGAAAGAUGAAAAGCACUUUGGAAAGAGAGUUAAAAAGUACGUGAAAUUGUUGAAAGGGAAGCGCUUGCAACCAGACUUGCCCGUAGUUGCUCAACUUGGUCUUCCGACCGGUGCACUCUUCUGCGGUCAGGCCAGCAUCAGUUCGGGUGGUUGGAUAAAGGCCUCGAGAAUGUAGCUCUCUUCGGGGAGUGUUAUAGCUCUUGGUGCAAUACAGCCUGCCUGGACUGAGGCCCGCGCUUCGGCUAGGAUGCUGGCGUAAUGGUUGUAAGCGGCCCGUCUUGAAACACGGACCAAGGAGUCUAACAUCUAUGCGAGUGUUUGGGUGUCAAACCCGUGCGCGUAAUGAAAGUGAACGGAGGUGGGAACUUUUGUGCACCAUCGACCGAUCCUGAUGUCUUCGGAUGGAUUUGAGUAAGAGCAUAGCUGUUGGGACCCGAAAGAUGGUGAACUAUGCCUGAAUAGGGUGAAGCCAGAGGAAACUCUGGUGGAGGCUCGCAGCGGUUCUGACGUGCAAAUCGAUCGUCAAAUUUGGGUAUAGGGGCGAAAGACUAAUCGAACCAUUAAAAAAAUGGCAUUACAAA
This 861-nucleotide ribosomal RNA is filed under the name Berkleasmium thailandicum. RNAcentral's name for it is "LSU rRNA". It matches the Rfam family "Eukaryotic large subunit ribosomal RNA", at positions 75 to 965 of the family's 3401-position model. Lineage: Eukaryota; Fungi; Ascomycota; Dothideomycetes; Tubeufiales; Tubeufiaceae. The record is from RNAcentral.